Molecule: ribosomal RNA, 491 nt
Filed under: uncultured bacterium
Lineage: Bacteria
Description: partial 16S ribosomal RNA
Rfam family: Bacterial small subunit ribosomal RNA
Source: RNAcentral
GAUGAACGCUGGCUACAGGUUUAACACAUGCAAGUCGAGGGGAAACGACGGGGAAGCUUGCUUCCCCGGGCGUCGACCGGCGCACGGGUGAGUAACGCGUAUCCAACCUGCCUCUGACUGAGGGAUAACCCGUCGAAAGUCGGCCUAAUACCUCAUGGCAUCGUCUGCGGGCAUCCAACGACGAUUAAAGAUUUCAUCGGUCAGAGAUGGGGAUGCGUCUGAUUAGCUUGUUGGCGGGGUAACGGCCCACCAAGGCGACGAUCAGUAGGGGUUCUGAGAGGAAGGUCCCCCACAUUGGAACUGAGACACGGUCCAAACUCCUACGGGAGGCAGCAGUGAGGAAUAUUGGUCAAUGGGCGAGAGCCUGAACCAGCCAAGUAGCGUGCAGGAUGACGGCCCUAUGGGUUGUAAACUGCUUUUAUGCGGGGAUAAAGUGAGGGACGUGUCCUUCAUUGCAGGUACCGCAUGAAUAAGGACCGGCUAAUUCCGUG